This 22-nucleotide non-coding RNA is filed under the name Lingula anatina. Lineage: Eukaryota; Metazoa; Brachiopoda; Lingulata; Lingulida; Lingulidae. RNAcentral also lists the same sequence under 2 other names. The record is from RNAcentral.
UCCCUGAGACCUUAACUUGUGA